CUGAAGGGUGUCAAGGCUCAACGUUGAGGCAGCCUCAGCAUGGCUCCCUUUAGUUCCUACAAGCUUUACACAUAAGUGAACUGCUCCAAGAGGAAAAAGGCCACUUCAGUGACCUCUCCACUGCCUUUCCCCAGCUCUUGGCAUCCUGUCUUAAGGCUACCCUUGGAUCCAGCUCUGCUGACCCACACUUCCCACACCACUGCCGGUGCCAUCUGCCCAGCCUUCGCUCAGGUUGUUCUUCUCAAAGUUCUUCGGUUUGAUCAAGUCCUGCCAAACAUCACUUGGUAAAAAUAAGAGACCUAAAAAGGGUCUGAAGAUGUCCUGCUUGUCCUGAACAGUUAUGCCAAUAACCACUGACACCAUGAGCAACUGCAAGCUGGGUUUUUACUCAUCUUGUCUUCCAAGAACAGGAGAGGUUAAUUCCCCCAGCUGCCAUAUACCAACACAGAAGUUGUGGUGAAUUAGAAUGAAAGAAGCACAGACUCAAUCUUCUAGGUGAAAAAGACUUG
This 509-nucleotide long non-coding RNA is filed under the name Geospiza fortis (medium ground-finch). RNAcentral describes it as "lncRNA (ENSGFOG00000002669.1)". Lineage: Eukaryota; Metazoa; Chordata; Aves; Passeriformes; Thraupidae. The record is from RNAcentral.